UGGAUGAGUGGCGAACGGGUGAGUAACACGUGAGUAACCUGCCCCCUUCUUUGGGAUAACGCCCGGAAACGGGUGCUAAUACUGGAUAUUCACUGAUCUUCGCAUGGGGGUUGGUGGAAAGGUUUUUUCUGGUGGGGGAUGGGCUCGCGGCCUAUCAGCUUGUUGGUGGGGUGAUGGCCUACCAAGGCUUUGACGGGUAGCCGGCCUGAGAGGGUGACCGGUCACAUUGGGACUGAGAUACGGCCCAGACUCCUACGGGAGGCAGCAGUGGGGAAUAUUGCACAAUGGGCGAAAGCCUGAUGCAGCGACGCCGCGUGAGGGAUGGAGGCCUUCGGGUUGUAAACCUCUUUCGCUCAUGGUCAAGCCGCAACAUUGGUUGUGGUGAGGGUAGUGGGUAAAGAAGCGCCGGCUAACUACGUGCCAGCAGCCGCGGUAAUACGUAGGGCGCGAGCGUUGUCCGGAAUUAUUGGGCGUAAAGGGCUUGUAGGCGGUUGGUCGCGUCUGCCGUGAAAUCCUCUGGCUUAACUGGGGGCGUGCGGUGGGUACGGGCUGACUUGAGUGCGGUAGGGGAGACUGGAACUCCUGGUGUAGCGGUGGAAUGCGCAGAUAUCAGGAAGAACACCGGUGGCGAAGGCGGGUCUCUGGGCCGUUACUGACGCUGAGGAGCGAAAGCGUGGGGAGCGAACAGGAUUAGAUACCCUGGUAGUCCACGCUGUAAACGUUGGGCACUAGGUGUGGGGGCCACCCGUGGUUUCUGCCCCGUAACUAACGCU
RNAcentral lists this ribosomal RNA (773 nucleotides) under uncultured bacterium. RNAcentral's name for it is "bacterial SSU rRNA". It matches the Rfam family "Bacterial small subunit ribosomal RNA", at positions 88 to 859 of the family's 1533-position model. The record is from RNAcentral.